RNAcentral lists this microRNA precursor (92 nucleotides) under Pelodiscus sinensis (Chinese soft-shelled turtle). RNAcentral describes it as "miRNA (ENSPSIG00000019878.1)". The stretch from base 5 to 85 matches the Rfam family "let-7 microRNA precursor family". Rfam says of the family: This family represents the microRNAs (miRNA) let-7 and mir-98. let-7 was identified from a study of developmental timing in C. elegans, and was later shown to be part of a much larger class of non-coding RNAs termed miRNAs. The extents of the hairpin precursors are not generally known and are estimated based on hairpin prediction. The products are thought to have regulatory roles through complementarity to mRNA. Lineage: Eukaryota; Metazoa; Chordata; Testudines; Trionychidae. The record is from RNAcentral.
UCCUUUGGGGUGAGGUAGUAGGUUGUAUAGUUUUAGGGUUAUCCCCUGCCUGUCAGAUAACUAUACAAUCUACUGUCUUUCCUGAAGUGGCU